GAUGAACGCUGGCGGCGUGCUUAAUACAUGCAAGUCGAACGGAAAGGCCCGGCUCUUGUGGGGCGCUCGUGUGGCGAACGGGUGAGUAACACGCGAGUAACCUGCACUUGUCUUUCGGGUAAAUUCAGGAAACUGGGGCUAUAAUCGGAUAGGAUCUCUUGCUGCAUGGUGGGGGUUGGUAAGUUUCGGCGGUUGGGCAUGUACUCGAGGCUUACCAGCUUGUUGGUAGGGUUGUGGCUUACCAAGGCUUUGACGGGAAGCCGGCCUGAGAGGGUGACCGGCCACAUUGGGACAGGGGUGCGGCCCGGACGCAUACGGGAGGCAGGAGUGGAGAAUAUUGGACAAUGGGCCGAGGGCGGGAGGAGGAACGCCGCGUGCGAGAUGACGGCCUUCAGGUUGGAAACCGCUUUCGCCUGUGACGAAGCGUGAGUGACGGUAAUGGGUAGAGAAGCACCGGCUAACUACGU
This 467-nucleotide ribosomal RNA is filed under the name uncultured bacterium. Its description in RNAcentral is "partial 16S ribosomal RNA". It matches the Rfam family "Bacterial small subunit ribosomal RNA", at positions 28 to 506 of the family's 1533-position model. The record is from RNAcentral.